UUCUCUCCCACUGAGCUCCUUGCUCACCAUUUGAAUCAUUACUAUCAAUACAGCUUCCCCUGUCCACAGGUGGAGCCUGCAUUCUGAUUUCUAGACAUCUGGCUUUGGCUUCAGUUAAAUUAAAAAGUUCUAAGUUUUCAUGAUCUCAUUUUAGCAAACGGUUUGUGCCUGCUGGCCAGCUGCAGAACGGCUUCAGGGUUAAUAUUCUUGAAAUCACAUGAAGCCCAGGCUGAUAAAGAAGACAAAGAUGGCAACCACAAACACUCAGGACUGGUGAGAUGUGAAUUGUCCUAAGUAUCUGCUGGAGGGCAUGGCCUCUGGACACACACAUCUGUGGUAUGGUAAAUCCGGAUUUGAGCAAAUCAGCAACAGAGCCUCAGGAAUUAUUUAUGCACCUAAUGACCACUGAUUGUAGUAGGAGACCAUGGCUUUUGGAGGUCCCUGUUCUGCUUUUCCUUGACCUCCAGACAAAGUUCCCAGAAGGCUGUCAAAAUCUUCAGUCCUCCUGUAUUUCAUGUUAUCUUCAAGUGGUCUGGCUUACAGCACUGGCCCUGGAGAAACCAGCAAGGGUGUGCAGGCAGUGGGCAUCUGCAAAUGG
RNAcentral lists this long non-coding RNA (598 nucleotides) under Anas platyrhynchos platyrhynchos (common mallard). RNAcentral describes it as "lncRNA (ENSAPLG00000024118.1)". The record is from RNAcentral. Lineage: Eukaryota; Metazoa; Chordata; Aves; Anseriformes; Anatidae.